GACGAACGCUGGCGGCGUGCUUAACACAUGCAAGUCGAACGGAAAGGCCCUGCUUGCAGGGUACUCGAGUGGCGAACGGGUGAGUAACACGUGGGUGAUCUGCCCUGCACUUCGGGAUAAGUCUGGGAAACUGGGUCUAAUACCGGAUAGGAGCCAUUUUUAGUGUGAUGGUUGGAAAGUUUUUUCGGUGUAGGAUGAGCUCGCGGCCUAUCAGCUUGUUGGUGGGGUAGUGGCCUACCAAGGCGGCGACGGGUAGCCGGCCUGAGAGGGUGGACGGCCACAUUGGGACUGAGAUACGGCCCAGACUCCUACGGGAGGCAGCAGUGGGGAAUAUUGCUCAAUGGGCGCAAGCCUGAUGCAGCGACGCCGCGUGGGGGAUGACGGCCUUCGGGUUGUAAACUCCUUUCGCUAGGGACGAAGCUUUUUGUGACGGUACCUAGAUAAGAAGCACCGGCUAACUACGUG
RNAcentral lists this ribosomal RNA (465 nucleotides) under uncultured bacterium. Its description in RNAcentral is "partial 16S ribosomal RNA". It matches the Rfam family "Bacterial small subunit ribosomal RNA", at positions 28 to 507 of the family's 1533-position model. The record is from RNAcentral.